Molecule: non-coding RNA, 167 nt
Organism: Maylandia zebra (zebra mbuna)
Lineage: Eukaryota; Metazoa; Chordata; Actinopteri; Cichliformes; Cichlidae
Source: RefSeq, a predicted model, not a curated record
GCUGCAAUGGAACAGUUUUAUAAAGAGAAGCUCCAAGAAGAAAGAUCUGCACAUAAAGAAACUGAAGAAGAAUUGAAAUCAUUCAAAGACAGAGUGGCAGGAGAGGUUGACAUUGCACUACAGGCCGGGAACUCUGAAAACAUGAACAACCCAGUGAAUGAAACCAG